This 5522-nucleotide long non-coding RNA is filed under the name Volvox carteri. RNAcentral describes it as "long non-coding RNA (VCAR_LNC003024)". Lineage: Eukaryota; Viridiplantae; Chlorophyta; Chlorophyceae; Chlamydomonadales; Volvocaceae. The record is from RNAcentral.
AGGCUUCCAACCGUUUCCACCACCUGGCGCAGGGUGGGGUGGGGGUCAUCAUGAGCACACUGCUCUUAAGGGCUGCACCAACCCGUAUAAGAAGGUUCGAACGCACGUGCAUCGCUACCUGCUCACCCCGCGUGCUGCAAAGCUGCUUAUCGCUGCUCCCUGGUUUCAGAGCUAUGAUAGGACCCGUCUUUAUGGUAGUCGCUCCAUGCCAGGCCAUAUUCACAGCAUUACAAGCUCACACCCUCAGCAGUGUACAAGCACACGCUCCGGAGAAAGAAGACCGCAUCGACAUUCCCUGCACUUCGGCCAUCUGCAUCUCCAUAUCCGUCAGACCGCAUCCGCAUCUUCGGCAAGACAUCACAUCCCCUCUCACGAGGGCCAUGUCGGCAGCCUAACCUGGCCGCAUUCGUGGUUUACCGUGGCUUCGAGGUGUGACUUCCUGGCAAUCCCAUUACCACCUGCCUUGCGCCAUCUGACAUGCACCGUACCUACUCACACACAAACGUAGAGCGUUCCCAUACGGCGUCAGCCACCAUUCCUAGGUCUCUCAACCCGCUACUGACGGGGCUGUGAAGUGUACACCACCCAUCUCACUCCGCCACAGCUGCCGCUGCCUCGGUCGCUGUAGUCGUCGCCGCCGCCACAGCUGCCUCGGUCACUGUUAUCAGUAGUACUGUUGCUGCCGCCGCCACAGCGCUUCCACGCCUCUGCCACGAAGGCGCUCAGCCGCAUGUCACCGUACUCUUCAGUGAUGUACGGCAACAAGAAGUCCUGCGGCAUGACGCGGCCGCGACAGUGCUGUGCGCUGCAACGGCAGUCGAAGGGUGCAGCCAGACUGGGGCCGUACAACGUGGCGAAAUCCACCGAGAUCACCUCACCUGCGGGUUAUCGGAAACGUAGUUGACACAGGCCCCGGGGGAAUCAGGACGAAGACAACGACGUGGGUUGUUGCUUGGCGACUUCUCUCCUUUUCCUCUCCUCACCCUCACCCCGUACAUAGAUGGCAAAACAUACCUCAAAAAUACAUGCGGCGGCCAAGCUGUCGACAGAGAUGGGACUUGAUGUGGUGUGCCUUCAGGAGACCCACCAUACUAAUGCCCAUGACCAGAGUCAACUGGAGAAAGAGCUAAACAUGGCAUCACAGGCGAUGCACACCAGGCGAUGCACACUCGUGGUCCAACUCUUCCCACACAGCGGGAGUGCUCAUCCUAGUCCGUCGGGAUCUGAAUGCCAAUGUGGAAAACCCGCCGCCCAUUCCCGAGGUCCGAGGGAGAUUUACCAGCUGUAUAAUACGCUGGGGAGGACACCGCAUCCACAUCUGCAACAUUUAUGGCCCCGCGGGUACCUCUGCACGAGUGAAUCCCCUCCGACAACAGCUGUUCACAACCAUGCUGCCAGCCACAACCAAGCAUGCAGCCGAGAACAGUGACACAAUUCUCAUAUGGGCGGGUGACUUCAACUUUGUGGAAAACCCAGGGCUGGACUCCACGGCUGGAGAAGGGGGGAGACGGGGGGAUGGCCCUACAGCAAACCUAGUCAGGGAGGCAGGCCCCACCAUGGUGGACAGCCACCGCCAGCUGCAACCCAACAGUUGCGACUACACCCACUUCUACAGAGCACCCCGCGUCGGGGCCUCCCGCCUAGACCGCAUCUAUGUACACCAUGGCACCAUGCCAUACAUUGCUAAGACGGAGAUUGCCGUGCAAACACCGUCGGAUCACAAGCCAAUGGUCAUGCACCUGCUGCCGUGCCGACCAGAGAGCAAGGGCCCGGGGAACCAAGGAGUGAGGUUGGCCUUCACAUCACAUCAGGACCUAGCCGCAAGCAUGGAGACAUGGAUCACCAGCCGGUGUGCCACAGCCCCAUCUGUGGAGGACAACCCUUUGGGCCUGAUUGUGUGGUGGCCAGCUGUUAAACGCCGGCUGAGCACCCUGGCCUUUCAGCUCAACAAGGCGGCAAAACACUGCAAGCUCAGACCAGGGGCCCGGGCUCGGGAGGUCCAGUUGGCAAGGCAAGCAGUGGAUGCAGCCCCCACAGCACACCAGCCACUUCAACACAACAGCCACUUCAACAACUGAUCGAAGCCCAGGCAACACUCGCAUGAGCACAUCAGGAAGACUGCCGGAAGGAUGCAAUGGAGGUCCGCACCCACUGGCUGUGGGCAGGGGAGAGGCCAAGCCCAUCCCUUACAGCCUUCCUCCAGGCCCAGGCUGUAGACCAACAGCCAGCCCCUGUGGCCCUGCAAGCCUCGUCCGGCCGACUUGUUACCAACCCCGCUCAGCUGCCCCAGGUGGUAGCCGACUUCUGGAAGGAUGUGAGCAAGGCCCCGGACUUCAUCUGGCCCCAGGCCUGCCAAACCGUACUGAACUCCCUCACCACAGCCAACAUUAACCUCCCAGCAGAUGCAGAUGAACAGCUCGGAGCCAAAACGAUCACAGCCACCGAACUGCGGAAGGCACUUAAGAAGAGCGCACCUGGCAAGGCCCCAGGGUGGGAUGGGAUCCCGGCCGACAUCUACAGGAAAUCCUGGUCAGCCAUAGGGAAUACCAUGGCAGGCCUGUUCACUGCCAUUGGCACGACCGGGCAGGUGCCAGCAAGCUUCCUUGAAGGGAUCAUCACAGUGCUCUACAAAAAGGGCGACCCUAAGCUCCCAGGCAACUACCGCCCCAUCAUACAGCUAUGCUCGGACUACCGGCUCCUUGCUAAGGUACUGGUGAACCGCCUGGGCCCCGCCCUGGGACGGGUCAUCACCACCGAGCAAUCUGCCUUCCUCCCCAAGAGCCUGAUUGGGGCCAGCGUACUCUUCCUGCGCCACCUCCUGUCACACCUCCUCCGCAAGCAGAACCGCCAAGGGCUUUUGGCAUUCCUGGACUUUGCCAAAGCUUACGAUACAGUGGAUCGCGGCUUUCUCCUAGCGGCCAUGGAGGCGAUGGGGGCAGGGCCACAGCUGUGUGCAUGGGUACGUCUGCUAUUGAGCGAAACCCGAGCCCGGGCGAUGGUCAACGGGUACAAGUCCAGGUUGGUAGACAUGGAGGCUGGUGUCCGACAGGGCUGCCCCCUGGCGCCCCUGCUGUACCUCUUCGUCGCCCAAGCUCUCCAAUGCUGGCUCCGGAGCCAGGAGGUGGGAAUUAAGCUGCAACCGUCCGACCCAAAUCCCGUCACCGCCUGCCAAUAUGCAGAUGACAUGGAAGUGGUGUUGGAUGGCGCGGAAUCAGUCCCCUCCUUCCUACUGGCCAUGGAAACACUUGCCCGGGCAUCCGGCCAGCGACUCAACCUGGAGAAAGUGGAACUGCUAUGGAUUGGCCAGCAGCGACAGCAACAACAGCAGCCGGCGCUAGCAGCAGGACCCCAGCUAACAGCCCCCCAGCAUGAGACAAUCGGAGGUCUUAAGGUGGUAACCACUGCUACUGCCCUGAACCUGCCGAUAGACAACCAGGUGACCCCACCACAGCCGGACUGGAUGAAAGGGAUGGGAGAGGACAAAAAGAGCAUUUGGAAAGGCAACGGCGGUGUCGGUGUAUGUAUUGCAGACAAUCCCCUGGCACAUGGAGCAUGGCGGACUGGCCCCAGACCGCACGCUGGACGAGAUAGCGUGGCUCACAGCUCGCCUGGUCGACCGCCAACAAGGCCCGGAUGAUCCUGGCCGACGCUUGACUGGCGUGCCCAAGGAACUCCUGAUCAGUCACCCAUCGACAGGAGGCUUUGGUCUGCUGCCCCUCCGGCAACACAUCCAAGCCCGGCAUGCGGUGUGGGCUGCGCGUUUUGUCAUCAUAGCUCUAGGGCUGGGAACAGGCAACACGAGAACAGAUACAGGCGCAACAGACACAGAUAUGCAGGUGGGCGGAGGUAUCCACCCCUGGGUCCGCACGCUUUCCGCCUACCUUUUGCUCACGAACCCCGCUUUCCAGCCAUGGCCCCUGACAACCGUGAGCCCAACUGGGCCCUGGCUUGGGGCUAGUGACCUGCCGAAGGAUAUCAGCCGGAUUGUGGGAGCCCUGGGGCACUUGCCGCCAGCAGAGGACAUCGGGACCAACCCACUGACACCCGGUGACUGGUGCCGGGCGACUGCAUUAUGGGGAAAUCCGCUAUUCCCCAAUGCUGGAGGGACCGACCCGACGGACCGGGGGCGCCACCCCAGCCUGGAGUACCAAUACCCAGGGCUUGUCACCUGCAGGAAACUACAGACGGUAGGGGACCUGGUGCGGGUUUGGACCCUGGCAGAGAGCAGCGAUCUGGCAACCCUCCCUAGGAUGGUAUGGCUGGAGUGGGCCCGGACUCACCUCGAUGCGCUUACCCCGAUCUCCACACCAAGGACCACAGAACCGGGAGCACGCGCAGCAGGUACCCGGCCCCAGGCAGAGGCGGAUAACGGAUUUCCUCAUCCAGCCCGACGGGGUGGGACCACAGACGGGGCCUGCACCGAACGCGCCGGGGGAUGAGGACCAAAUGCAUGAGUGGAACACGGUGACAGGGGGGUUAGCAGCAACGGCAGCCGCGGCGGCAGCAGCACCCGCAGCAACCCCCUUGGAGUGGGCCUGUGCCCGGGCAGUGGUGGACUUCUGGGCGCGUUUGCACUCCUUCACGGUGCUGGGCACCCCGCGGAGAGGCUGGGACAGGGUGGGACCCGACCACCCGAUCCUGUCGGUUUCAGAAGGCGCAUUGCGGUGCGCCGAAGUGGUGGAAAUUAUUGCCUAAGAGCGCUUUGAGCUUAGUAUGUAGAGCAGGGCUCGGGGGGUAUAGGAGUUCAAGGGGGAUGGGAGUUGGAGAGCAUGGAAUAGGUGAGAGGAAACCCCGAGACGGGAGAGGGAGAGGAGAAGGAUGGGUAGUGGAGGCGGUCACGUAGUGCAGGGAAGAACCCUUUUUCUUCCCUAGUGCCGCUCCAAGGUUGUAGGGUGCUGGAGAGCCGGGGGGGAGGUGGGGUCGCUCGGACAGGGGAGGGGGAAAAUGGUGGUGAGCGCGCCAAAAGGACGUAGGUUUACUGGGGUUUGGGAGGUUGAGGUCUGGUGGUAGCAGCGGGGCUCGGAUGAGGGGGAGUUGUGGCCCGAGGAGGGCCAUUCUACUUAGGCACGUCUUCUCUGGGGGGACUGGGUUGCUUGGUGAGCUCACGUGUGUGGGUAGCGUGUAGGGUGCAGUCAUCUGAUUAAUAAAUCCCCUUUCCUUAUACCAAGUGGCCAACUCUGUCUUCAGCUAUUUCUGACCCCUGUCAGUACGAACAAUUUUUGUCUUUUCUCCACAUAUCAAUGCUUGCUACCUGAUCUUUACACGACAGAAGGCAAACAACUGACAUACGCGAGAAAUCGUCCAAAAACUUAGCAUUUUUUAUAUCACCAUCACAGGAAGUAACCAGAAGUGGACCGCACACAUCCACAUGCACUAACGCCAACUUCCUAUCAGCCAGAUUUCCACUUGAUCCAAAGGUUAACAUGACAGCUUGGCCUCAACACAAGUGCCACACACCGACUCACCCUCAGCAUGGUUCACCCUCGGCUUUUUAAUUUCUCAAGCUGAUCCUGGUCUGUUUU